AGAGUUUGAUCCUGGCUCAGAUUGAACGCUGGCGGCAGGCCUAACACAUGCAAGUCGAGCGGUAGAGAGAAGCUUGCUUCUCUUGAGAGCGGCGGACGGGUGAGUAAUGCCUAGGAAUCUGCCUGGUAGUGGGGGAUAACGUUCGGAAACGGACGCUAAUACCGCAUACGUCCUACGGGAGAAAGCAGGGGACCUUCGGGCCUUGCGCUAUCAGAUGAGCCUAGGUCGGAUUAGCUAGUUGGUGAGGUAAUGGCUCACCAAGGCGACGAUCCGUAACUGGUCUGAGAGGAUGAUCAGUCACACUGGAACUGAGACACGGUCCAGACUCCUACGGGAGGCAGCAGUGGGGAAUAUUGGACAAUGGGCGAAAGCCUGAUCCAGCCAUGCCGCGUGUGUGAAGAAGGUCUUCGGAUUGUAAAGCACUUUAAGUUGGGAGGAAGGGUUGUAGAUUAAUACUCUGCAAUUUUGACGUUACCGACAGAAUAAGCACCGGCUAACUCUGUGCCAGCAGCCGCGGUAAUACAGAGGGUGCAAGCGUUAAUCGGAAUUACUGGGCGUAAAGCGCGCGUAGGUGGUUUGUUAAGUUGGAUGUGAAAUCCCCGGGCUCAACCUGGGAACUGCAUUCAAAACUGACAAGCUAGAGUAUGGUAGAGGGUGGUGGAAUUUCCUGUGUAGCGGUGAAAUGCGUAGAUAUAGGAAGGAACACCAGUGGCGAAGGCGACCACCUGGACUGAUACUGACACUGAGGUGCGAAAGCGUGGGGAGCAAACAGGAUUAGAUACCCUGGUAGUCCACGCCGUAAACGAUGUCAACUAGCCGUUGGGAGCCUUGAGCUCUUAGUGGCGCAGCUAACGCAUUAAGUUGACCGCCUGGGGAGUACGGCCGCAAGGUUAAAACUCAAAUGAAUUGACGG
Molecule: ribosomal RNA, 913 nt
Filed under: Pseudomonas sp. C2R3_pA
Lineage: Bacteria; Pseudomonadati; Pseudomonadota; Gammaproteobacteria; Pseudomonadales; Pseudomonadaceae
Description: bacterial SSU rRNA
Rfam family: Bacterial small subunit ribosomal RNA
Source: RNAcentral